Molecule: non-coding RNA, 72 nt
Organism: Phrynosoma platyrhinos (Desert horned lizard)
Lineage: Eukaryota; Metazoa; Chordata; Lepidosauria; Squamata; Phrynosomatidae
Source: the annotation of a GenBank genome assembly
GCCAGAGUGGUGUAGUGGUUCAAGAAUUGGGCUGUGACUCUAGAGACCAGGGUUUGAAUCCCUGCUUGGCCA